This 477-nucleotide ribosomal RNA is filed under the name uncultured bacterium. RNAcentral's name for it is "partial 16S ribosomal RNA". It matches the Rfam family "Bacterial small subunit ribosomal RNA", at positions 29 to 507 of the family's 1533-position model. The record is from RNAcentral.
AUGAACGCUGGCGGCGUGCUUAACACAUGCAAGUCGCACGGGAAACCUUUUAUUGAAGCUUCGGCAGAUUUAGCUGGUUUCUAGUGGCGGACGGGUGAGUAACGCGUGGGUAACCUGCCCUAUACAGGGGGAUAACAACCAGAAAUGGUUGCUAAUACCGCAUAAGCGCACAGGGCCGCAUGGUCCGGUGUGAAAAACUCCGGUGGUAUAGGAUGGUCCCGCGUUGGAUUAGCCAGUUGGCAGGGUAACGGCCUACCAAAGCGACGAUCCAUAGCCGGCCUGAGAGGGUGAACGGCCACAUUGGGACUGAGACACGGCCCAGACUCCUACGGGAGGCAGCAGUGGGGAAUAUUGCACAAUGGGGGAAACCCUGAUGCAGCGACGCCGCGUGAAGGAAGAAGUAUCUCGGUAUGUAAACUUCUAUCAGCAGGGAAGAUAGUGACGGUACCUGACUAAGAAGCCCCGGCUAACUACGUG